This is a non-coding RNA of Podarcis lilfordi (Lilford's wall lizard), 87 nucleotides long. The record is from the annotation of a GenBank genome assembly. NCBI's taxonomy places the organism in Eukaryota, Metazoa, Chordata, Lepidosauria, Squamata, Lacertidae.
CUUCCAGUAGCACCUUAGAGACCAACUAAGUUUGUCAUUGGUAUGAGCUUUCGUGUGCUUAGUUGGUCUCUAAGGUGCCACUGGAAG